Long non-coding RNA from Cavia porcellus (domestic guinea pig), 14492 nucleotides. RefSeq lists it as uncharacterized. The record is from RefSeq and is a predicted model, not a curated record. NCBI's taxonomy places the organism in Eukaryota, Metazoa, Chordata, Mammalia, Rodentia, Caviidae. The transcript is spliced from 3 exons.
CCACGGCGCAGACAGUGACAUCAUCAGAUGGUGCAGGCAAGGGCCACGUGGAAGACCGACAAAGAAAGACUGAACAAGUAUAUUUGCUGUGUGCACAAAAAAGAUUUCUAGGUGGCUUUGCGUUCUUUUCUUUCGAGAUGGUGCUGACACAAGCGUGUUACGCUGCGGUGGACUUUUCAGCGAGCCGAUGCCCUCCAGGCUUCCUCCGAGGAACUCAUCCCGAGCGACAUGGAGAAGGCUGCAUAGUCCACUUGUGAACACCAGGGUUUCCAUCCAUAAAAGAGAAGCCAGAGGUGGGGAGAGGAUCUUGCCUUGUGGCACAGGCUGACCUGGAGCCUGUGAUCCUCCUGCCUCUGCCCCCGAAAUGCUGGGACUGCAUGCAAUGUGUGCACUGCUGUGCCUCAGUUGAAUUGGAGACUUGAUCAACAGCUGGAAACAGAGGCCAAGAGGCAGGUAGGAGCUGUUUCAGCAUGCAUUGGAUUUUAUCUGGAGAAAAAAUGGGAUCUGGCAAUUGUAGAUGAAAACUCUUGUGAUGAUAAGUGAACAUGCACAGCUGUUGAAGUCUGUCAGGUGGCCUUAGGUUCCAGGGAAUGACCUGGUUGCACACAGGAUCCUGGCCUCAGUUGCUCACUGCAGAGUCUGCUGUGUGUGUGGGGUGAGGCUGGCCAGAGCCCUUUCUCGGGCAUUUUUCUUAAUUACUAAAGCGUAAAAGUGCUUUGAAUUGAAUUGUACUGCUGAAACUAUUGAGUGGCUUUCAAAGGAGAGAGGAACAGGAAGUCAAGGGAGGAGCACUGAGCUCCCCAACAUGUCACAGGGAGCCAUUGUCACCUCAUGUCUAGAGACACAGAAUGAAUGAAGCUCAGGAGAGUAGGAAACUGGGGCCUGUGGCCACCCCUCUGGCAUUGGGAGGGGUGGGAACACAGCCUUCGGGUUCUUGUCAGGGGCUGGGGCCUCAACCAAGCCCUUUCCCUUUCCUGGCUGAUGCUGGGCCGGGCCAGGGCCCUUGUGAGAUUGGAAGAAUGUGUACUAAGCUUUUGCAGGCUCUUGGAUUUAAGUCUCACCUAAGUAAUCAUUGAGUAAAACGUGGCCUCAGAGCUGGAUGCGCCUUCCAGUAAACUACAGAGUCCAUGGGCUUCUCUGCAGAUGCUGCCCCAGCCCCGCCUGUGCAGGCUCCUAGCUGCAAGCCUGGGGCUUGGAGGUCAGACAUGGUGGAGAGGCUCAGGUCAGCACCCUUCCUGUCUGGAGCCUUGGCAGGCAUCAGUGGCAGUUCCUGCUAUGGCAGAUGGUGUUUGCGUUCACUGAGCUCAUUAGCUUCUGUAUGCAGCCUGUGUUUUUCCUUCCCCUUCCCCCUCUUCAGUCCUUGCCCUCUUGGACCACUUUUCUAUUGUGAGAGAUCCAUCCCUUUGUCCCUUUCUAUCUAUCCUUUAUUAUUCUCUUUCUACUUUGCCUCACUCUAAUGUGAAAUACCAUGUGGUAUUUACCUUGUUGCUCUGGUUUAUUUCACUCAACUUUGUAUUUUCCAGGUACAUUUAUUUUCAUGCAAAUAUCCCAUGUUUGUAUUCUUUAUAGCUAAGUAGUACUGCAGUACAUAUAGAUACCAUAUUUUCUUUAUCAAAUUGUCUGUUGGGGGUAUAUAGGCUGCCUUCAGGAUUUAGCUAUUACUGGUUAUGCUGCUAUAAAGAUUGGUAUGCAUGAGUAACUGUAGUAUCAAGAUCUUUGGGGGAUGUUUUACGUCUCUCUCACUGGACAUGAGAUACCGGAAACCCCGAGUUAAAGGAAUGAAUGUUUUAUAUAGUUCAGUUUGUAGAGGUUUCAGUCUGUAAUCAGAUAGAUGCAAAGCAGGUUGGCAUGGCACAGAGGCAACAUUUCAAGGUGGUAGAACACAAAGCAACAAGAGCACAGAGCAUGGGGUACAAGCCUCUUUUCCUCCCUUAUGUUGUGAGCAGGCUACCGGCCCUUCGGUGGGUGCAGCUCUCACAGCAUCUCCCUGCCUUCCCCUUGUUCAGGAUGAGGGUGUUUACAAAGUGGGCACCUGGCCCCCUGCUGAGUCAUUUGAUUGACCCUCUGAACUUCUCAUGUUGACACAAUGAACAGCAUCCCAGAGCUGUUGGGCUUGUCCUGUUGGGUUAUUUAGUUAAGCUUCUCAAUUCUCAAGUUGAUACAGUGUAUCAACUGUGACAAGGAAGAUACUUCAAGGGGAAGACUGGGUCAUACAGUAUUUCUAAUGCUAGUUCUUUGAGAAAUCCCCAUAGUUAUGCCAUAAUGCUGGUACUAAUUUACAUUCCCACCAACAAAGAAGGAUUCUUUUUUUGUGACAGCCUCAUCCAGAAUUUGAUACUGUUCUCAUUUCUUAAUGUUUGCCAUUCUUUACAGAGAAACAUGUAAAUUUUGUUUCUUUUCCCUUUUUUUAAUAAAGAAUUUAUUGAAAGAAAAAAAAGCUUCUCAGUAAGAGAAAAAUAAGGAGGUCUAGCCUCAACACGGAAUCGUAUCAGGGUUAUACAUUACAUUUCUGUAAUGGUCAGAGAUUUUGAACAUUUUUUUCAUAGACUUGUUGAUCAUUGGUAUGUCUUUCUCUGUGAAGUAUCUGUUCAUUUCUCUUGCUUAUUUUUGACAGUCUUUAAUUUCAGGUGUCUUAAUUUUUGAGUCUUUGCGUAUUAUUAGAUAUUUGUCCUCUGUCUGAGGACUACCUGGCAAAAAUUACUAUUCUGUGGCUAAGGUUCUCAUUAGAAAAUGUUUUUUGCGGCUGGGGAUGUAGCUCAGUGGCACAGCACCUGCCUGUCAGGCAUGAGAUAUCAUGAGUUCAAUCCCUGGUACAAAAAAAGAAAGAAAAAGAAUAGAAAAUAAAAUAUUAUGCUAUACUGGUAUCUUCAAGUGUUUUGUCUGUUUUAUCUUCAGAACAUCUAAUGUUUCUGUUUUAAUGUUGAUCAACUUUGAUUUUACUUUAUGUCCAGUUUCCAUCCUUGCAAACACAUAACCAGUUUUACCAGCACCAGUUGUUCAAUGGGCUGUCUUUUCUGCAGCCGAUGCUUCCGGCUCCUUUGUCUAAGAUCACGUAACUGCAUGGACAUGAUAGUGCAUAUCUCUAGUGAGAACACGCAGGAGACUGAAGCAGGAAGAUUGCUUGAGUUCAAGGCCAGCCUGUACUACAUAGGAAGUUAAAGACCAGUCUGAACUGCUUGGAGAGACACUCUCUCCACCAAAUGAAAAACAAAACAAAGCAAAAUGAAUGAAUGUGUCUGGGAAAGAUUCUAUAUCCUGUAUUCUGAUCCAUUGAUGCAUACAUCUGUUUUUCUUCCAGUAAUGUGCUAUUUUUAUCACUAUUGUUUUGUGGUAUAACUGAGAUUAGGAAUUAACUGUGCCUUCUCUUGUUUUGCUUUUGUUGCCUAAAAUUUCAUUUGCUAUUCUGUGUCUCUUCUGUCUUUAUAUACAUUUUAGGAUCGUUUGCUCAAGUUCUGUAAAGUACGCUGUAGAAAAUUCAGGAUGUUGGCACAUGUUUGUAAUCCCAGCACUUGGGAGGCUGAGGCCGGACUAUUAUUGCUAGUUCAAGACCAUUCUGAGCUAUGAAGUGAGCUCAAGGCCAGCCUGAAAUGCAUAGUGAGAACUGUUAUAACUCGGGCCCCGGUAUAAAAUCCAAGGAAACAAGAGUCCAAAAAUUUAAGUAGCAAAGGCUUUAUUGAGCCAGUCCGGGCGGCACAGUCUCUCUUGGAUCGACCCAAAGACUGCGCGCCCAAGACUGGGGAAAGGGGUUUUUAAAAGUAAGGGAAAGUGGGGGGAAACCUGCGAGGCCAUUAAACCUGUUGACCUGCAUCUGGAAACUGUAUUGCUGUCCACUUAGCUCUGACAAUCUCGGGAGUUCCUGGUAUUCCUUAAAUUACUCCCAUCCUGCAGACUGACAUUAUCUCAGAGUGGCACGUCUGCAGCAAUAUUUGGAGAAGAAAGUGGAGAGUUAAUUAUCUCAGGACAGCUUGUCUUCGCUAGUGAGUGCGAAGGGGUCACAAGUUAUGAGACGCUGGAACUUAAGUUUUACAAAGAUCUGAUAUCUUAACUCAUUUGAUACAUACAGAACAAAAGGAAAGCACCGAUCGGGGUUUGGGCCAUAGUGUUACCCGGUAAUUUCUUUUAAGCUAAGCAGUUCUUAAAAUUGGGGCAGGCUCAUUUUAUGACAGAUCAUCACCGGGUUGGGGAGAGGUCACAAGAAACCCAAAUUCUUUAUGGCCCAGAUAGGGUGGGGGGGGGCAAUAAGGCGCGCUACAGAACAGGAAAACGGCAAGUAUCUAUCUUGUGGGAAAAGUAACUAAGGUUAGGUAAAAAGGUUAAACUCAUACACAAAUCUCCCUGCAUAUAAACAAGUUAUUUCAAACAAUGUGUAAAUCAGUGGGCCUUCUAGUCUUCUUUAGCUCUUUAGCGAAGAAUAGAGGCGCCUAACCAUGAUUAACAACCCUUGUUAGCUUGUUUUAGCACCACUCUUCUUGUUUGUAGAGGGCCGCUCUGGUUAACAUCUCAAUUAAGUGAAAUUCUUGCAGUUCUUUACAGAGGAGAGUAUUGCUCAACAUUUCAAUUGGGUCACUGAACAUAUCAGUUGGGGAAAAAGGAUAGAAAAAAAAACAUUUAGUAAGCCACGGUACAGGUUUGCUAUAAUACACAAAAUGAUGAAGCUACUUUCUUAGAGUACAACAAGAACCUGUCUCAAACAAUAAAUAAUGUAUGCUGUUGGUGUUUUAGUUGGGACUGCAUUGAAUCUGUAUAACUGUUUUGUGAGGAAAAUGGCCAGGUCUUUUGUUGUUUUGGGGUUUUUUUUUGUUUUGUUUUUUGUUUUUUUUUGGUACUGGGAAUUGAACUCACAACCUUGCAGUUACCAGGCAAGUGCUUGAGCUGCUGAGCUAAAUCCUUGGCCCUUGGCCAGUUUUGAUAAUGCUGCAUCUUUCUAUUCAAGAAAAAAGGAUGUCUUUCCAUUUCCUGAUGUCUUCUUCAAUCUCUUUUCAGAGUGCUGUAGUUUUUAGAGGUCUUUUUAUUUUCCUUGGUCCAACACUCCAUAGAGUGUUGUUUUCAUAAUUUCCUUUUUACUCAGUUUGUUACUGGUGUUUACAAAUGGUAAAGAUUUUUGUGUGUCACUCUUGUAUCUUGCUGUGUUGCUGAAGUUGGUUCUGCGGGAGAUUUUGGGUGCUGUUACGGUUGAUACAUUGUGUCAAUGUAAGCUUAAAAGUUUUCUUAACAGGCAGUCAAGACCCUUUGUAAAUACCUUGUUCUGUGUAACAGGAGGAAGCACAGAUUUUGUGUGUGGUGUAUCUGCCCUGGGGGGUGGGUAGGGGUGGCUUGCAUACAGUAUAAGGGAGCAGAAGAGGCCUGCUCUAUACUCUUUUGCUCUGGCUGCUUUUGCCAGCUGCUGCGUAAAUCUUUUGCCCUGGUGCUGUGCCACCCUACCUUGGAGCCAGCUGAUUAUGGACUGAAAUUAUUUGGUCUUCUAACGUAUGAGAGACAAAAAGAGAAAAAAUAGAAGGAAAGAAAGGAGAUCUUUAAUGUGGGCACAGAAGGGCUGCCAAAGAUGCAAGCACCCUCUGGAAGUUUUUAAGAAAAAAACUGCGGGCUUUAUUCAGAAUUGACGGGUGGAAUUGAAGGGGCAGGUAGAGUGAUGUACUGACAGCUGGCUGGAGGAGGGUUGGCAUACAUGAAAAGUAGGAUGUUCAACUUUUAGGUCUAAAACUUAUAGCACUCUGAAACACAGGGUGGCACUGUCCAGCACCACGUUAGCUCACACAUGAGAAAAGCCUUUCAGAAACCUGCAGAAACAGUGAGCUAAAUAAACCUUUCCUUCGUUCAUUUUGGGUGUUAGAUAUUUUGUCCCAGCAAUAACAAAAAGGUAACCAGUACAGGUGGAUUUUCUAUUUAGAGUGUCAGGUAGUAGCCAGAGGUCAGGAGAAAGAAAUUGUACUGACCCUAGCAGACCCCAGAAGAGUAAUCUGCAAAGUCCAAGAUAUUGACUAAGGAUAGUUAGUUUUAUUUGUAGGGUGGCAAUCAGAAGUUACAAAAGCAAAUAGUUUUUGCUGAAGGUUAUGGUACAGUGGGUAUCGUGAGUUGAGCAUUCAUGUAUGUAGCAAAAUUUUUGUGGCACAUUCACAGAAGUUUUAAUUUGAUGAUAAGUCAUUAUUUAGUUGAGGUCAGUGGCAGAGAACAGAGUGGCUGCAGCUGUAUUGCACAGAAUGUUUCCAGUGAGGUCUGGAUUUCCUUUUCAGUUUUACAGUGAAAGCUUUCAGUUUUUGACCAUCCAGUAUGGUGCUUCCUGUUGAUCUGUCAUAAGUUGCUUUUAUCAUAUUGAACUAAGGGCCUUGUAUUAUACCUGUUUUCUUUGGAUUGUUUAUCACGAAGGGAUAUUGCACAUUGUUGAAAGUCCUUCCUGCAUGUGUUGACAUGAUUAUGGUUUUUGACUUUAUUACUGGUGGGGUCCUGCAAGCAAAGGGAAAAUAAGGGGACGCACACACUAAGGCACAGCAAAAUGGCUGCAGCCUAAGCAAGUAGCUUUUAUUGAGAUAAAGAACAAAGAAACUGAAAUUGCUCAUGCUUAGAUUAUACAACUUGUUAACUUCUUGGCCUUACAGGAUCUCAUGUUUUUACCUUGGGUUGUGGGUUAUGUUUCAAGAUCUCAACUUUUUCCCAUAAUAUUGUCAACUGGGUGUGUCCAGAACAAAAUAGAAUCAAUGUGGCCUCUCUAGAUCUCCCCCUUCUUUUUUUAGUUUAGACUUUGUUACCAUUUUAGAAGCUGGCAUUUUAGGUAUCAACAUUUUGCAUCCCUUACCAGAUAAGCAGGUAAGGACAGUAAAACAAAAAAAUUUAUUUUAGCUGGUUGAUAUCUGGUAACCAUCCUGUAAGGAAAUUCCAUAAUUUUGCAUUGAGCACUUGGGAGGCGUAUAUCUGUCUGGUAAGUUCUUGUAAAUCAUGAAGUUUGCCAUUGAUGGAUUUACUUUCAUCAGACAAAUUAAAACAGCACACUUGAACAAUUUCAUUACAUCCGUGAGGAUGCAAUAGAAUAAUCAGUUGCAGCACGAUUAUCUAAAAUCACUUGUCACUGCUCACUUUGUUCUUUGUUUAAUAAUGCCAAAGCUAUAAAAGUAUAUUUUAGUUGUUUUUGCCAUGAGACAAGCUAGUGCAUUAACAUUGCAAUUGGCCCUGGCUGCCAGGGCAGGCACACCAACCAGAGAAAUACCUAAAGCAUAAAUUUCUGCUUUGGUUAACAGGCUGAUAGAAAAGUCCCCGCAUAGGUCAGUGAGACUAGUUGUAGACUGCUUGGUGCGAGACAGUGUACAUUCUGGAGAAGGCAACAAUACAGUAAGGUGACUAAGGCAGCAUCUGUGUUCUGAGAUAAGUUAGCAAGGAUGUAAUUGAAGGUCUACUCUUCACAUGAGAAAAACCAUCCAGCAGGGAGAGGGCCAUGUCCAUGUCCCUAAAUACUGGCUCAUAACUGAACAAUUCCAAGUAUUACUGGAAAGGCAAAGACAUUAAGCAGUACAAUUUUCAGUAGAAGCACAUGAGGCAUUUGAAGUUGCUACAUAUGGAGGGAACACUUUAACAGCAUUAUCAGGGUUUUCAAGGGUGGGAGGGGCCCAAUUUGGAAAGUCAGCAUAUGUGACAAUUUUGCUUAGAAUUGUGGAAAAAAUGGUGUAAUUACUUAGAGAGGCAGGGUCCUUGCAUCCUGGAACCAGACAGGACCCGAGGAGGUAUUUCAUUUCUGUGUUUUCAACAAGACACAAAUGAGAGACAUUAGAUAUUUUUGCCAAUAUUGUAUCUCCCAAAUAUUGUAUUCCAGUCUUUCUUGGAGGUUGUGAGACUCUAAAGUCCCCAUGGUGGAUUGUAAAAGUCAUAGCAAUAGAAUACAAACAAGCAUUAAAGAGUUAAUUCUUAGUUUGGUAAAUAUUACCACAUGAAGCUUUUUAGCAGUGCAUUCCUCUUCAGAUACAUGGAGCAAGUCUUAUGCAGACUGGAUCAGCACCUUUCUAUCAGGUCACUGGCUGAGCAGUUGUCAUCCUGGGUCACUCACUUCCAAGGCAGCUGGGUUUGAUUUAGGGAGAGGCGAAACUGUGGAGUCGGGUUGUGCACCGAUGGUGCCAACUCAAUCCAUGCAGGAUGAAUGCAAUAAGCAGGAAUCCACACAUGGUCUGUUCAGGGUAACACAGAAGCAUCCCCUCCUUCCCAGAUCAGCAGGAGAUCCAGCCUGGGUCUGGGGGUGUUUUGAAAAAAUGGAACUAACAUAGCCAAAGAGACCUAAAGAGAAACAGAAGAGGAUAGCAGAAAGGAGAAGUCAGCCUUGGUAAGUGAGAAAACAGUAUCAGUGAGAUCAGUUCCAAGGAGUGCAAGUGCACCAGUAAGUCCUCAAGAGAUAAGAGAAGAAAUAGCAUUGAUAAUAGGAAAUACAGUACUACCAAGCAAGAAGGGUAAAUGUAACCAUUCAACAAUAAAUACCUUGUUCUGGACGGCAACAAGAGCCCCUGCAGGCAGAGGGAAUGAAUAUAAAAGGAGUCAGGAGAGGGCAGUCCUGUGGGACCCGAUCCACCAUAACGUGGUGAUUGUGUGAGCAGUGCUCCAAAGGGGAGAGUCAGAGAUCACAUCAGCAGGAUCUCGGUUGCCCCUUAAAGCACCAACAGAGGAGCUAACUGCUGCGUGGUCAAAGGAAAAUAGGGUCCUACCCAGGUAAGGUGGAGACAGCUGAAGCAGCACCGGGAACACCUGGAAGGCUGCCACGCGGUGUCCAACUGCUCACUGGCCAAAGGUGGCAGCAGCGCCCCGCAGAGCUGCCAGGUGUGCAGGACAGAGGUUGGGGCUCGAGGCGCCGCAAGCAGCAGUUUGGCCAUCUUUUCCCUAUUCUCCAGUAUGAGCAUUCCUCCCUCAAGAUACCCCAGACAAUGACCAUGAGUUUCUCACAAAGGUUGUACGAAAUUAUGCCCAGGAGCCCAUGGCCUGCCUUGUUAAGGAGAAAAAGCAUCCCUGCCCUGUGUUUCUGCUGCGCCUCAGACAGGGGAUUCCCCAUGACUCACCAGGGAUUUCCCAAAGAAAAUGAAGUGCAUGGGUUGGCUACUGUGUCCUACCCCAGGAACACAGUGAAGGCAAGUCACCCUCCGCAGCAGAGGUCUCCUCUGUCCAUGCACCAGAUGUUGGGGUUCUUCAACCAAAGGGAAAAUAAAGGGUCACACACACUAAGGGUCAGCAAAAUGGCUGCCACCCAGCCAGCCUAAACAAAUAGCUUUUAUUGAGAUAAAUAACCAAGAAACUCAAAUUGCCCAUGCUUAGCUUAUACAACUUCUUUGCUUCUUGACCUUAAAGGACCUUGUGUUUUUAUCUUGGGGUGGGGACGAUGUUUCAAGGCCUGUACUUUUCCCCAUAACAUUGUGAACUGGAUGUGUCUGGGACAAAAUGGAUUCCGUGUGGUCUCUCUAUACAUUGCAUUUAUCGGUUUAUGUAUUUUAAAUCAUCCUUGCAUCUCUGAGAUGAUAUCUUCUUGAUCAUGAUGUGUGAUCUUUAUCGUUUUUGUUGUUUUGUCUCAUUUCUUUUUUUGUUAAUUAUUUUGAGACAGGGUCUUGAUAUGUAGUUGGGGCUGGUGUUAAACCCCCUACUAGCCGAGGCUGGCCUUGCGCUUCCCGCAGUCCUCCUGCCUCAGCCUCCUGAGCUCUGGGGUUAUCGAUCCUGGUGGACAGUAUAUGAUCUUUUUGAUGAUGAGCUGCAUUCUGUUUUUUAAUAUCCUGUUUAACUUUUUGUUUGCUUGGUUUAGGUUUUUGUUUUGUGUUCUUUUGUUUCUUGUUUUCAGACAGGGUCUUGCUGUACAGUUCAGACUGACCUUCAGCUUACUAGUAGCCUGUGCUGGCCUUGAAUUGGCAGUGAUGCUGCUGCACCAGCUUCCCUCGGAUUACAGGCUAGGAGUACAAGCGUGCACCAUCAAACGCUGGCUCCUAGUUUUGCAUGGAUGUCCAUGAAGAUGGGGUGCAGUUGUAUUUUUGGUUUGGUCUUUGUCCAGUUUGGGAAUCUGGAUGAUACUUCUGUGCCUGAACUUUGGAGCGCUCUUAUCCAUUUCAGUGUGUUUUAGAGCAUGAGAAUCAUUGGUGAAGGAGCAUCCUUAAAGACUGUAGAAUUCAGCCGUGAAUUCAUCUGGUCCAAGUCUUUUUUUGGUUGAUGGAUUCUUUGUUGUAGUGUCAAUUUCAUUGCUUGUUCUUGGGUUAAGCAUAUUUCUGUCUUCCUGAGUCAUGUUUGGUAAUUUAUAUCUGUCUGAGAAUAUGUCCAUUUCUUAAAAAUUGGCCAAUGUUUGGGAACAUAAUUUUUCAAAGUAGUUACUGUCCUUUGGAUUUUGAUACUCUUGUGAGUUUACCUCCUUCAUUUCUAUGUGAGUGCAAAGUUUUUAGUUUUACCUCAUCUGCUGGAUGGCAACUGGCCAGCUGCUCAAAGCCACAUCAUUUGCAGAGGGUUCCCUGUUUCUUCUGUAAUGUUUUCCAUUUCUUCUGUUGUAUGGUGCAAUCUGGUUUUUUUCUUUUUUCAGUUCCUUCCUGGUUCCUGGUAAACUUGGUUUCACUUUGACUGCUCGUGUCUGUGUUUGCCAUACAGUCUGAUGCCCCGUGCUCAGGCUUUGGAAUCAUGGUGCCUCCAGCUUUGUUCUUGAGCGUGGUAUCUAUCAGCAGAUUCAGUACAUGCUAUACACAUGUGUAACACUUUUCAAGAUUGAUUUACAGUGGCUGCCCACAGUCUAGUGUGAAAAUAUGAAAGUUCCCUCUGGAAAGAUGCAGGCCACCGCCUAGAGUGCAGUGUAGUGUCCCACAUGAGUCCAUGUCAGUAUGCGUAAGGGUCUGUGAUGAGGGUGAACAGACAGCUCACUCCACAGCUGAAGGGUGGGUGCUGGAGUCUGAAGAGUCUGUGUGACCAGCCAGGAGAAGGCUCCAGUGUGAAAGAAGACUGGAGCAGCUCCAAAGCAAACAGAAGCAGCCUUCCUUCCUCAUUUCCCUAUUGCACCGUAAUCAGCCCUGGGACAGGUCUUCCACACCAAGAGCUAUGCUGAGGCAGUUUAAUUAGGUAUUGCAUCUCAGAUUGACAGAGCCACUCAAUCAUCACGAAGCCACCUUUUUCCUAACUGCGUACUGUGGCCUGGAGGAAUGCAAUUGUUAGCACUUGCUGCUCCAUCGCUGUGAGUGGGGAGGGCAGACAGUUCCUUAGGGGUAGGCAAGGCCACCCUUUUCUGACCACUAAUCACAGAGCAGGUUGCUGAAUGUUGCUCUAGGAGCCAGGUGAAUGGGUGAGCAGUGGGGCUGGGAUCACAGCCUGUUUCCUUCCACCUCCAGAACAGAUCUUUGUUCCACUAGCAGUCUGAAGGGUCCUUUGUGGAAGUAAGACAUCCUGCAUGCAUCCUGGAUAUGAGGAUAUCUGGGCAACAGUGGUGCCUGGGACAGCAGCUGUGAGUGCCUCAUGCCUGGUAGUACCCAAGGCCAGGUGAGCAUGUGUUUAAGUUUGUACUGAGUUCCCCUUCCACAUAUUAGAAGAGGAGCCAGGUCACUAGUAUGAGUGACAGGCUUUCAAGGUCAGGUAACCAGACCUGAACUGAAUGUGACAGGCCCAGAGCUCAGGGCUCUUCUCACUUUGCGACUUCAACAGAAAGACUCCAGCACAAGAGUUCACAGGGACUUCUGUCCCCAAGGAUGUAAGGGAACCUCUGGUGAGGGCUAUAAUUCAGAAAAAAAUGUAUGCAGGGCACAUCUUUGGGACCAGUGUGAGUGGAUGACAACACCAGAACACUAGGCGGACCAGAUUGAGGAUUGACUGGGGGAUAGUGCCUGGGCAGAAGUCAUGCUAUUCAUGAGGACUCUUCUGUUAGGUUUUUUUGAUGCAGUUGAAAGACAAAGACAUAAGGAAAAAUGUUCAUUGCAGGCACAGGAGGUUGCUGGGGACUGCAAGGACCCUCAAAAAGGUGGAUCUGGGAAACAGCUGGAAAACAGCAGAAAGACAGGGGUCUGAUUGCAAGAGUACAGACUGUUUUUGGCACUCUUGAAACAGUAGCCUAUGGCCUUAGUUCAAGGGGGCUGUCACAGGACACACAUUGUGGGUGUGCAGCUACUGUGCCCCCACCUCUGGCAGACCAGUAGGAAGCGGCUCUGAGCAGGAUUGAAAAUGAACUAACUGAUUGGCUUUCUGUGUUUUAUCUGUUGAGUCUUUCCUGGGGCUAGGUAGGCCUCUUGCCUGGCGAUGGGAGCUGAUUUCUAUUGAGUGAACCUCUAUGAAACUCCACGGGUCCUGGCUGAGGCCUGCAGUGGCCUGAGAUGCCAGAGAUGCCUCAAAAGGCAAGAUGAGUCCACAGUUGAGGACACCUGCCUGGCUCGGACACCCAUGAAGUACAUAGAGACUGUGGCUGUCAGCCUCUAGUGCAUGCAGUCUCACUCCUACCGUCGUCCUGGAGAUGAACCGGCUCUCCUAAACUGGCAUAACUGGCUACUUGGAGAAUUCUUUGAAGUGACUCCCAAGGUCCUGCUCACUGCCCUUCCCCUGGGUGGGGGUGGGGGGACUUUCCUCAGUAUCCCCACUCUUUGUUUGCACCCCUAUAGGUAGGGGUGGCCCGGAGAAGCACUUUGUCUUUUUGUGUGUGUGUGUGUGUGUGUGUGUGUGUGUGGUACUCGGGAUUGAAUUUAGGCUUGCCAGACAGGUGCUUACACCACUGAGCUAAAUCUGCAGGCCGAAGCUCUCUCUUUGUCUUGGCCCUCGUUGUAGCCACAGAGUCGAGAACUCUGUGAGAGGGAUUUUACCCCCCUGGAGCCUUAAAAUCAUACGACUCCGUCUCAUUUAUUCCGGCCUUCGCCACACACUGGUGUGGGAGAUUGGGGAUCUAGGUCGGACCACGGUAGCCGGCCUCCUGGUGGGGAGACACAUCCCUGCCUUUCACUUUGGGAUCUGGUCACAUGGGCUAGCCAGAACCUCCGUGGAUUCCUGGCUGUCGGUCCUUCCAUCUCUCCUGCCCGCCCGUCGGGUGCAUGGGCAUGCACCACCUAUCUGUUGUUUGGGCGGUAUGAUGUAUGUAUCUCAGCUCUUGGGCCGUGUCCCUCUGUCUGGCCCUGGUUUGCCGGCCUACCUUUAUCUAUUUACCUGUGUAUGUAUGUAUGUAUGUAUGUAUGCAUGGGUGGAUGGAUGGAUGGAUGGAUGGGUGGAUGUUUUGGUACUGGGAAUUAAAACUCAGGACCUUGCAUUUGCCAUGUAAGCCCUUAUGCCGCUGCGCCAUAUCCCUGGCCCUAUUUAGUGAUUUGUUUAUUUAUUUAUUAUUCAUUCAUGCUUGUGUUCACUUUUUUUUUUUCUUUCUUUUUUGCAAUGGACAUCAAAUUGAUGACCUUGUGCUUAUCAGGUAAGGGCUUAAGCCACUGAGCUAAAUCCCCGGUCCUAUAUUCAAGUUUUGUCCUGGGAAUCAAACUCAGGGCCUCAUGCUUGCCAGGCAGGUGCUGUGCUGCAGAGCUAUAUCCCUGGCCCGUGGCCUUCCUGUCUCUCACUGCCAUGGCCUGGCGGGUACCUAGGGGUGUCCCUGGACUUGGCUUUCUGCCACUUAUUGAUUGAUUAAUUGAUUGGUACUGGGGAUUGAACUCACGACCUCGAGUUUGCCAAGCAGGCACUUAUGCCGCUGAGCUAAACCUCUGUGGCCCGAGCUAAACCCUCGGCUCUCUGUCUUUUAAUACAGUCAGUCACAGGGUCUCUGUGUGUGGUACAGAGUGGCUUGGAAUGAAUGAAUGAAUGAAUGAAUGAAUGAGUGAAAGAAAGAAAGAAAGAAAGAAAGAGAAUGAGUGAAAGAAAGAAAGAAAAAGAAAACAAAGAUCUCGUAUACCUCCUGCCUGUCUCAGCAAACCGCCCCCCACACACACACACACACUGCAAUGAUAUCGGGUGUGGAGCACCUUGCCUGGUUUUUGGAGGGAUAUCUCCACUGCCACGACCUGGUGCUGGGGAAUUAGUAUUAGUAUUAGUACUCGUAUUCAUAUUAGUAUUAGUACCAGGGAUCAUACUCAAGACUUUGGACCUGCCAGUUUGAGAGAACUGAUCUUAUGACACAUGAUGAAAUGAACAAACGCUUUGAAGGAAAAAAAGGCACUACAGCACCCAGUGCUGACUCUGGCGGGUCAUGGUGUGAAAUUCAGCAAUACUAUUAUUCUCUGUUCAGAGUGAUUUUAAUCUGCUUUGGUUUGUUAAAUCUCAACAUAAAUGCAGAUAUGAAUAAAUGCAUGUAUGUUAAGAGUAUAGGAUUGAUAACCACAUUACUAAGAUUUUAUUAGAUAGUUGAACAGAAUUAUUUCCAGUCUCGCUGUUUGAAUUCCCAUUAAUAUGUUCCACUCUUGUGUCUUGAACAACUAUUUGUAAGAGGACAAUAUGUAAACAUCAACAAGUGAUUUAUUACUGUUUAUUUUUUUCCAUUGAAAGUAUGUAUUAUUUCGACCGUUUUCUGUUUCGUUUUGUCUUUCUUUAAAUAAAAAUUUAAAAAUAAACACCCAGAGAAACACAAA